UACGUAGGCAGCAAGCGUUGUUCGGAAUUACUGGGCGUAAAGAGUGCGUAGGCGGUGCCUUAAGUCUGCUGUGAAAUCUCCCGGCUUAACUGGGAGGGUGCGGUGGAUACUGAGGUGCUUGAGUGUGGGAAAGGUAAGCGGAAUUCCUGGUGUAGCGGUGAAAUGCGUAGAUAUCAGGAGGAACGCCGGUGGUGUAGACGGCUUACUGGACCAUAACUGACGCUGAGGCACGAAAGCGUGGGUAGCAAACAGG
Molecule: ribosomal RNA, 253 nt
Filed under: uncultured bacterium
Lineage: Bacteria
Description: partial 16S ribosomal RNA
Rfam family: Bacterial small subunit ribosomal RNA
Source: RNAcentral